RNAcentral lists this ribosomal RNA (753 nucleotides) under uncultured rumen protozoa. RNAcentral's name for it is "bacterial SSU rRNA". The stretch from base 1 to 611 matches the Rfam family "Eukaryotic small subunit ribosomal RNA", at positions 391 to 1116 of the family's 1831-position model. The record is from RNAcentral.
GGAGCCUGAGAACGGCUACUACAUCUACGGAAGGCAGCAGGCGCGUAAUUACCCAAUCCUCCUUCAGGGAGGUAGUGAGAAAAUAAAACAACGCGGUUAUUAUCGCGAUUGUAGUGAGGGUAUUCUAAACAGAACCUAUAGUACGAUUAGAGGGCAAGUCUGGUGCCAGCAGCCGCGGUAAUUCCAGCUCUAAUAGCGUAUAUUAAAGUUGCUGCAGUUAAAAAGCUCGUAGUUGGAUUUCAAGGAUUGUAAACCCCUCUGUGUUAUUUCUUCCUACUAGUCUUCGGACUGUUACUGUGAGAAAAUUAGAGUGUUUCAAGCAGGCUUUCGCAAGAAUACAUUAGCAUGGAAUACGAAUGUAUUUAGAAUCUUGGUAAUCAAACUACGACCACCACCAGCACAGCCGGGGGCAUAGAUUUAAUUGCAGAGGUGAAAUUCUUGGACUCGCUCAACGACUACGUAUGCGAAAGUAUUUGCAAGGAUGUUUUCAUUAAUCAGACGAAGAUAGGGAUCAAGACAAUCAGAUACUGUCGUAGUCUAUCUAUAACUAUGCGACUAGGGAUUGAUGGCUCAACACAUUUCAGUACUAUGAAAAUCAAGUUUUGGGUCUGGGGGGGUUUGUCCAGACUGACUUAGAAUGACGAGACCCGAGUGACUGGGCUAUUGACUCACGGGACUACAGUCACAUAAAGAUGCAAUGGAGCUUCUGAUUCUAGGGGGCAUGGCGCUCUAUUGGGGAAGAUGGUCUGUUAU